AUUGAACGCUGGCGGCAGGCCUAACACAUGCAAGUCGAACGGUAACAGGAAGCAGCUUGCUGCUUCGCUGACGAGUGGCGGACGGGUGAGUAAUGUCUGGGAAGCUGCCUGAUGGAGGGGAUAACUACUGGAAACGGUAGCUAAUACCGCAUAAUGUCGCAAGACCAAAAGAGGGGGACCUUCGGGCCUCUUGCCAUCGGAUGUGCCCAGAUGGGAUUAGCUUGUUGGUGGGUAACGGCUCACCAAGGCGACGAUCCCUAGCUGGUCUGAGAGGAUGACCAGCCACACUGGAACUGAGACACGGUCCAGACUCCUACGGGAGGCAGCAGUGGGGAAUAUUGCACAAUGGGCGCAAGCCUGAUGCAGCCAUGCCGCGUGUAUGAAGAAGGCC
This 391-nucleotide ribosomal RNA is filed under the name uncultured bacterium. RNAcentral describes it as "bacterial SSU rRNA". It matches the Rfam family "Bacterial small subunit ribosomal RNA", at positions 30 to 416 of the family's 1533-position model. The record is from RNAcentral.